This 460-nucleotide ribosomal RNA is filed under the name uncultured bacterium. RNAcentral describes it as "partial 16S ribosomal RNA". It matches the Rfam family "Bacterial small subunit ribosomal RNA", at positions 338 to 795 of the family's 1533-position model. The record is from RNAcentral.
CCUACGGGAGGCAGCAGUGAGGAAUAUUGGUCAAUGGGCGAAAGCCUGAACCAGCCAAGUCGCGUGAGGGAUGACGGUCCUCUGGAUUGUAAACCUCUUUUAUAAGGGAAUAAAGUGUUGGACGUGUCCGAUUUUGUAUGUACCAUCUGAAUAAGGAUCGGCUAACUCCGUGCCAGCAGCCGGGGUAAUACGGAGGAUCCGAGCGUUAUCCGGAUUUAUUGGGUUUAAAGGGUGCGUAGGUGGGUUUUUAAGGCAGAGGGGAAAGUCUGAGGCUCAACCGUAAAAUUGCAGUUGAAACUGGUAGUCUUGAGUAUAUUAGAGGCAGGCGGAAUGCGUGGUGUAGCGGUGAAAUGCUUAGAUAUCACGAAGAACCCCGAUGGCGAAGGCAGCCUGCUGGGCCUUGACUGACGCUGAGGCUCGAAAGUGUGGGGAGCAAACAGGAUUAGAUACCCCAGUAGUC